This 253-nucleotide ribosomal RNA is filed under the name uncultured bacterium. RNAcentral's name for it is "partial 16S ribosomal RNA". It matches the Rfam family "Bacterial small subunit ribosomal RNA", at positions 524 to 776 of the family's 1533-position model. The record is from RNAcentral.
GACAGAGGGUGCAAACGUUGUUCGGAAUUACUGGGCGUAAAGCGAGUGUAGGCGGUUUGGUAAGUCGGAUGUGAAAGCCCUGGGCUCAACCCAGGAAGUGCACUCGAAACUGCCAAGCUAGAGUAUCGGAGAGGUUGGUGGAAUUCUCGGUGUAGAGGUGAAAUUCGUAGAUACCGAGAGGAACACCGGUGGCGAAGGCGGCCAACUGGACGAAUACUGACGCUGAGACUCGAAAGCGUGGGGAGCAAACAGG